GAUGAACGCUAGCUACAGGCUUAACACAUGCAAGUCGAGGGGCAUCAUGACUGAGGUUUACCUUAGUUGAUGGCGACCGGCGAAUGGGUGAGUAACACGUAUCCAACCUGCCCGUUACUGGAGGAUAGCCCUCCGAAAGGAGAAUUAAUACUCCAUGUUGUGCUGAAUUCGCAUGUUUUCGGCACUAAAGAUUCAUCGGUAACGGAUGGGGAUGCGUCCGAUUAGGUAGUAGGCGGGGUAACGGCCCACCUAGCCGACGAUGGGUAGGGGUUCUGAGAGGAAGGUCCCCCANAUUGGAACUGAGACACGGUCCAAACUCCUACGGGAGGCAGCAGUGAGGAAUAUUGGUCAAUGGGCGAGAGCCUGAACCAGCCAAGUAGCGUGCAGGAUGACGGCCCUAUGGGUUGUAAACUGCUUUUAUGCGGGAUAAAGCGGGCGACGUGUCGCCCCUUGCAGGUACCGCAUGAAUAAGGACCGGCUAAUUCCGUG
Molecule: ribosomal RNA, 489 nt
Filed under: uncultured bacterium
Lineage: Bacteria
Description: bacterial SSU rRNA
Rfam family: Bacterial small subunit ribosomal RNA
Source: RNAcentral